UACGUAGGGUGCGAGCGUUAAUCGGAAUUACUGGGCGUAAAGCGUGCGCAGGCGGCUUCGCAAGUCAGGCGUGAAAUCCCCGGGCUUAACUUGGGAAUUGCGCUUGUGACUGGCGGGCUGGAGUGUGGCAGAGGGAGGUGGAAUUCCACGUGUAGCAGUGAAAUGCGUAGAGAUGUGGAGGAACACCGAUGGCGAAGGCAGCCUCCUGGGCCAGCACUGACGCUCAUGCACGAAAGCGUGGGGAGCAAACAGG
RNAcentral lists this ribosomal RNA (253 nucleotides) under uncultured bacterium. Its description in RNAcentral is "partial 16S ribosomal RNA". It matches the Rfam family "Bacterial small subunit ribosomal RNA", at positions 524 to 776 of the family's 1533-position model. The record is from RNAcentral.